Molecule: ribosomal RNA, 440 nt
Filed under: uncultured bacterium
Lineage: Bacteria
Description: partial 16S ribosomal RNA
Rfam family: Bacterial small subunit ribosomal RNA
Source: RNAcentral
CCUACGGGAGGCAGCAGUGGGGAAUAUUGCACAAUGGGGGAAACCCUGAUGCAGCGACGCCGCGUGAAGGAAGAAGUAUUUCGGUAUGUAAACUUCUAUCAGCAGGGAAGAAAAUGAAGGUACCUGACUAAGAAGCCCCGGCUAACUACGUGCCAGCAGCCGCGGUAAUACGUAGGGGGCACGCGUUAUCCGGAUUUACUGGGUGUAAAGGGAGCGUAGACGGUUGUGCAAGUCUGAAGUGAAAGCCCGCGGCUCAACUGCGGAACUGCUUUGGAAACUGUGUAACUGGAGUGCGGGAGAGGUGAGCGGAAUUCCUGGUGUAGCGGUGAAAUGCGUAGAGAUCAGGAGGAACACCAGCGGCGAAGGCGGCUAACUGGAAAAUAACUGACGUUGAGGCGCGAAAGCGUGGGGAGCAAACAGGAUUAGAUACCCUGGUAGUC